RNAcentral lists this long non-coding RNA (2312 nucleotides) under Hordeum vulgare. RNAcentral describes it as "long non-coding RNA (HVUL_LNC010114)". Lineage: Eukaryota; Viridiplantae; Streptophyta; Magnoliopsida; Poales; Poaceae. The record is from RNAcentral.
UCGCUAUCAAAGAGGUAUUAAAUAGAAUAUUAGAUCUUAAAAUAUGAUAUUCCACCAAAUAAACCAUAAAGCAUAAACUACAAGAUGUAAUCAACACUACUAGUUAGACCCCAGGUACCAAUCAGAUGUUCCAAUACAAGAUUGAGAACAAGAGAUGAACUAGGCUUAUGAGAGGAGAUGGUGGUGAUGAAGAUGUUCAUGAGGACUGGCCUCCCCUAGAUGAGAGGGUUGUUGGUGAUGACGAUGUAUUUAAUUUCCCCUCAGGGAGGGAAGUUCCUCCGAUGGAAUCGCUCUGCCGGAGGGCAAAAGUGCUUGUGCGCAGGUUCCGCCUUGAGACGGCAGCGCCUCGUCCUGAAAGUACGCUCCUGAUUUUUCUCAGGUUAAAAGAGAAUUUAUAGUAGAAUAUGGAUGCUAGAGGUGGGCAAGGGGUCCCACUAACCACCAGGUAGCCCCUCUCUGGUACUUCUUUGCUCCAGUAUUUUUUUUAUUCCAAAAUAAAUUUCCGUAAAGUUCCAGCCCAUUUGGAGAUGUCAGAAUAUGUAUCUUUGGUGUAGCUUUUUCAGGUCCAGAAUUCCAUCUGCCUGCAUUCUCCCUCUUGAUGUAAACCUUGCAUAUUAUGAGAUAAAAGGUAUUAGAAUUAUUCCCCCAAGUGAUAAAUGCGUGAAAACAAUAUAUUUAACAAUAACAAAACAUGAUGCAAAAUGAACGUAUGAAAUAGCUAUGAUGCAAAACCUAUAUUGCAAACUAUUUACACAAUUUAACACAGGGCAACAUGCUCUAUAAUCUAGACUAUCCCGCCAGCACAAAGUAUGUGUAGAUGCUUAGCAAUCAUCAUGCUAACACAACUACUUGAUAACAGUUUUCAGAUUUAGUCAUAUUUCAUACCACCAAAUAAGCACAUUGACAUAGCAUGUUGACAACAAGAAUCCUACAAGUAGACAUGGUUUUCAUAGCAAGUAUAAAUACCAGGGCCUAUUACCCCCAAUACAGUCCAACUUUGAUGUUGACUAGAUUACCAAAGGGUGCAAGGAAUGCUUCAUAUAAAAUUAACAAAAUGGCAUCGUGAUGAAAACUAACAUGUACACGAACUUGCUCAAAAGACAAAACUAAUUCCAUAGAUGGAUUCCUUGGAUAUUCUACCCCAAAUUCAUAUAUAAUAAGCCUAUGUUUCGGUACAAUAACACACAAUAGACUACAUACAAAAAUAUAAUCAACUAGAUAUAACCUAGUAUAUGCCAAAUAUGGCAUAUAUCCAAUUUCGACUUUGCGAGAUUAGGAAAUAGCCAGAACUGGACUUUCCCUAAAUGGCAUAAACUCAAACUCUAUGAGAUAAAUAAAACAAAAACAAACAUAACACUAUCAGUGUCACUAAUGGCCUCUGGGUGGAUGACAGGUGGAUCGAACUCGGGUCUCCCUGAACAGAGAGAGGGGGCGCAACCACUCGGAUACGAAGGGGUUUCGAACCUGGAUGUCCUUGAGCUCCUUUGAGCUAGCCCCCACCAAAGGCCAGGUCAUCCACUCUGAAACAGAGAGAAACGGCGACGAUGCCAGCGAGUACCCCGACGUCAUUCGGAGCAGGCUACCGACGGCGGGGCUGUGGGAUCGCACACGGGUACAGUUUCCGUGGCAAGGACUGCUGCGAGACGAGCAACGGGGGGCCUCAUGCUCGGGUGAAAGCUCGUCUCGGUGCAUGUGUGGGGAUGAGGGGAGCACUGCGAGACUUGUGGUGAGGCGACGAUAGCGUGCGUGGGGUGUGUAGAAUGUGUGGCUGGGGCGCUACAACGAUACAGAUGCGCUCGGAGGACUACGGGAGGCAAGGCGACGAGCUUCUGAAUGCUGCCAUGUUCAACCAUGGCGGACUCGGCCUUGAAUGCGUUGAAUAUCGCCAGCUACGACACGAAUCGAACCGGGGAGAUGCUGUUGGGAUGGACUACUAACCGAGGUCCCUUAGGACAUGGGGAUGAGGUAGGGAAGGCGUGCGUAUAGUCGGGGUAGAAAGAGGCUGCCGCGGCGAGCUCCUGGUGUGCGAUGGUGGUGAUGACGGGGCCGACGUCGUGGAGGCGAUCUCCACCUCCUAGAUCCACGAAUGGGUCGAGGAAGGCGGCAAUGUGUGGUGGGACAUCAUGGGGAGGGGAGGAAGUCGGCCGCAGGUUACGACGGAGAUGAUGGCAACGACACUGCUUCUGAACCUUCUGAAAUCUCACUCGCCUCGUUGUCCGUGAAGCUCACGGCGCGACCGGCUACCUCUCUCUGACUCACUAGAAGAUGAGGAUGUCACGGGGAGGACGUCGCCGUGAGAGGGGAGAGAUGGG